RNAcentral lists this ribosomal RNA (260 nucleotides) under uncultured bacterium. Its description in RNAcentral is "partial 16S ribosomal RNA". It matches the Rfam family "Bacterial small subunit ribosomal RNA", at positions 93 to 353 of the family's 1533-position model. The record is from RNAcentral.
GAGUGGCGAACGGGUGAGUAAUGCGUGACCGACCUGCCCCAUACACCGGAAUAGCUCCUGGAAACGGGUGGUAAUGCCGGAUGCUCCAGUUGAUCGCAUGGUCUUCUGGGAAAGCUUUCGCGGUAUGGGAUGGGGUCGCGUCCUAUCAGCUUGACGGCGGGGUAACGGCCCACCGUGGCUUCGACGGGUAGCCGGCCUGAGAGGGCGACCGGCCACAUUGGGACUGAGAUACGGCCCAGACUCCUACGGGAGGCAGCAUG